This 217-nucleotide unclassified non-coding RNA is filed under the name plant metagenome. RNAcentral's name for it is "partial contains small subunit ribosomal RNA, internal transcribed spacer 1, and 5.8S ribosomal RNA". The record is from RNAcentral.
UCUCCGUAGGUGAACCUGCGGAGGGAUCAUUACCAGUGACCCCGGUCUUACCACCGGUAUGUUCAUAACCCUUUGUUGUCCGACUCUGUUGCCUCCGGGGCGACCCUGCCUUCGGGCGGGGGCUGCGGGUGAACACUUCAAACUCUUGCGUAACUUUGCAGUCUGAGUAAACUUAAUUAAUAAAUUAAAACUUUUAACAACGGAUCUCUUGGUUCUG